Molecule: ribosomal RNA, 490 nt
Filed under: uncultured bacterium
Lineage: Bacteria
Description: partial 16S ribosomal RNA
Rfam family: Bacterial small subunit ribosomal RNA
Source: RNAcentral
AUUGAACGCUGGCGGCAUGCCUAACACAUGCAAGUCGAACGGUAACACGCCUGCGGUUGCCCCCGGGUGGGGGACUGGCGGGUGGUACAGGGAUACGUGCCAAACUGCGCAGGCUAGGGGGACAACGUAUUUAAACUUACGCUAUUCCCUCAACCGCUGCUCGCGGGAAAGCGCGGGACCUUGGGCCGUGGCGCGAGUGGAUGAGCGCAUGUUCGAUUAGCUAGUUGGCGGGUUAAAGGCCCACCAAGCCGACGAUCGGUAGCUGGUCUGAGAGGAUGAUCAGCCACACUGGGACUGAGACACGGCCCAGACUCCUACGGGAGGCAGCAGUGGGGAAUAUUGGACAAUGGGCGCAAGCCUGAUCCAGCCAUGCCGCGUGCAGGAUGAAGGCCCUCGGGUUGUAAAGUUCUUUUGUACGGGAAGAAAAGCAUCCGGCUAAUACAGGAGUGUCAUGACGGUACCGGAAGAAUAAGCACCGGCUAACUACGUG